Molecule: long non-coding RNA, 150 nt
Organism: Pieris napi
Lineage: Eukaryota; Metazoa; Arthropoda; Insecta; Lepidoptera; Pieridae
Exons: 2
Source: RefSeq, a predicted model, not a curated record
CUAGAACAUAUGCUGCUGAGAUGAACGAAGAGUCUAGUAAAUAGAUGAUCUAAGAGAUCCCCAAAUGUUCAAAAUUUCUGAUAGAAAAAUACAUUCUGCCUUUGAAGAAGAAGAAUAUUACAUUUAUAUCAUACGACAAGGCCCCUGGAU